Molecule: ribosomal RNA, 327 nt
Filed under: uncultured eukaryote
Lineage: Eukaryota
Description: partial 18S ribosomal RNA
Rfam family: Eukaryotic small subunit ribosomal RNA
Source: RNAcentral
CCCUUAGAUGUCCGGGGCCGCACGCGCGCUACACUGACGAAUGCAACGAGCUUAUAACCUUGGCCGAAAGGUCUGGGUAAUCUCCAAAUUUCGUCGUGAUGGGGAUAGAUUAUUGCAAUUAUUAAUCUUCAACGAGGAAUGCCUAGUAAGCGCAAGUCAUCAGCUUGCGUUGAUUACGUCCCUGCCCUUUGUACACACCGCCCGUCGCUCCUACCGAUUGAAUGGUCCGGUGAAGCGCUCGGACCGCGGCCUCUUGACGGUUUUCCGUCGAUUGGCUGUGGGAAGUUCGUUAAACCUUAUCAUUUAGAGGAAGGAGAAGUCGUAACA